AUGCACCCGCCCUGCUCAGGGUGCGGGGGCCAUGGGGGGGGGCCCGGGGGGCUCGGCCGCCUGCGGGAGAGAGCGGCAGCGGUGAGGCCACGCGGCGCCCCCCCGGUGCCCCCCAAAUUCCCCAUCCGCGUGCCAGGGGCACCAUGGGGUGGGGGUGGGGGCUGCAAGCACGCUGCAAGCAAGCGCCCCCCCCUCACCCCCUCACCGCCAGCGGAUAGGGGAUGGGGGCGUUGGGGACCCCCGCGUCUUCGCAAGCGGGGUUGCCAAGGGAACGCCGGCAUCGGCACGGCACCGGCGGCAGGCCCCAUAGGACCCGCAGCAGGCCCUAUAACCCCGGCAUCAGGCCCUAUAACACCGGACUCGUGCCCCAUAGCACCGGAAUCAGGCCCCAUGGCACCGGCAUCGUGCCCCACGGCACCGGCACGGCGCCCCACGGCACCGGCACGGUGUUGGCACGGCGCCCCAUGGCACGGCACCCCGUGGCACGGCACCCCAAUGCCCAGCACCCCGUGGCCCCGCUCCUGCCGGCCCCGGCCCCGCUCCCCGAGCCUCCCCUCCUGCGGCAGCGUUCCUCCCCGCCGCCGGAAUCCCUUCCCGCGGCCCUGCGGCACCGGCACCGCUCCCGUGGGAUCCCCCUGCCUAUGGAUCCCCCCUUCCUAUGGGGUCCCCCUUCCUAUGGGGUUCCCCUUCCUACGGGUCCCCAUUCCUAUGGGACCCUCUUUCCUAUGUGACACCCAUUCCUAUGGGGUCCCCUUUCCUAUGGAUCCCCCUUCCUAUGGGACCCCCUUCCUAUGGGACCCCCUUCCUAUGGGACCCCCUUCCUAUGGAUCCCCCUUCCUAUGGAUCCCCCUUCCUAUGGGACCCGCUUCCUAUGGGACCCCUUUCCUAUGGGGUCCCCUUUCCUAUGGAUCCCCCUUCCUAUGGGACCCCUUUCCUAUGGGACCCGCUUCCUAUGGAUCCCCCUUCCUAUGGGAUCCGCUUCCUAUGGAUCCCCCUUCCUAUGGGAUCUGCUUCCUAUGGGAUCUGCUUCCUAUGGGGUCCCCUAUCCUAUGGAUCCCCCUUCCUAUGGAUCCCCUUUCCUAUGGGACCCCCUUCCUAUGGGACCCCCUUUCCUAUGGAUCCCCCUUCCUAUGGGACCCCUUUCCUAUGGGACCCGCUUCCUAUGGAUCCCCCUUCCUAUGGGAUCCGCUUCCUAUGGGAUCCCCCUUCCUAUGGGAUCCCCAUUCCUACAGAUCCCCAUUCCUACGGGACCCCACUUCCUACGGGAUCCCUUCUCUCACCGGAUCCCCUUUCCUAUAG
RNAcentral lists this long non-coding RNA (1299 nucleotides) under Cairina moschata (Muscovy duck). RNAcentral describes it as "domestica (muscovy Duck (domestic type)) lncRNA (ENSCMMG00000012235.1)". Lineage: Eukaryota; Metazoa; Chordata; Aves; Anseriformes; Anatidae. The record is from RNAcentral.